This 69-nucleotide transfer RNA is filed under the name Ocinebrellus inornatus (Asian drill). RNAcentral's name for it is "tRNA-Pro". It matches the Rfam family "tRNA". From Rfam's summary of the family: Transfer RNA (tRNA) molecules are approximately 80 nucleotides in length. RNAcentral also lists the same sequence under 2 other names. Lineage: Eukaryota; Metazoa; Mollusca; Gastropoda; Neogastropoda; Muricidae. The record is from RNAcentral.
CAGAAUUGUAGUUUAAUUAAAAUAUUAGCAUUGGAAGCUAAAGAUUAGGUUGUUAAUCCUACAUUCUGA